RNAcentral lists this ribosomal RNA (492 nucleotides) under uncultured bacterium. RNAcentral's name for it is "partial 16S ribosomal RNA". It matches the Rfam family "Bacterial small subunit ribosomal RNA", at positions 29 to 507 of the family's 1533-position model. The record is from RNAcentral.
AGUGAACGCUGGCGGUAGGCCUAACACAUGCAAGUCGAACGGCAGCACAGUAAGAGCUUGCUCUUACGGGUGGCGAGUGGCGGACGGGUGAGGAAUACAUCGGAAUCUACUUUUUCGUGGGGGAUAACGUAGGGAAACUUACGCUAAUACCGCAUACGACCUACGGGUGAAAGCAGGGGAUCUUCGGACCUUGCGCGAUUGAAUGAGCCGAUGUCGGAUUAGCUAGUUGGCGGGGUCAAGGCCCACCAAGGCGACGAUCCGUAGCUGGUCUGAGAGGAUGAUCAGCCACACUGGAACUGAGACACGGUCCAGACUCCUACGGGAGGCAGCAGUGGGGAAUAUUGGACAAUGGGCGCAAGCCUGAUCCAGCCAUACCGCGUGGGUGAAGAAGGCCUUCGGGUUGUAAAGCCCUUUUGUUGGGAAAGAAAAGCAGCAGGUUAAUACCCCGCUGCUCUGACGGUACCCAAAGAAUAAGCACCGGCUAACUUCGUG